Molecule: ribosomal RNA, 612 nt
Filed under: uncultured eukaryote
Lineage: Eukaryota
Description: SSU rRNA
Rfam family: Eukaryotic small subunit ribosomal RNA
Source: RNAcentral
CCAGCUCCAAUAGCGUAUAUUUAAGUUGUUGCAGUUAAAAAGCUCGUAGUUGGAUUUCGGGUGGGUUUCGUCGGUCCGCCUCUGGUGUGCACUGAUUGGAUCCGCCUUUCUGUCGAGGACGGGUUCCUGGGCUUCAUUGUCUGGGACUCGGGCUCGACGAGGUUACUUUGAGUAAAUUAGAGUGUUCAAAGCAGGCGAUCGCCCUGAAUACAUUAGCAUGGAAUAGCACGAUAGGACUCUGGCCUAUCUUGCUGGUCUGUAGGACCGGAGUAAUGAUUAAGAGGGACAGUCGGGGGCAUUCGUAUUUCAUUGUCAGAGGUGAAAUUCUUGGAUUUAUGAAAGACGAACUUCUGCGAAAGCAUUUGCCAAGGAUGUUUUCAUUGAUCAAGAACGAAAGUUGGGGGCUCGAAGACGAUUAGAUACCGUCGUAGUCUCAACCAUAAACGAUGCCGACCAGGGAUUGGCGGGCGUUCUUUUGAUGACCCCGCCAGCACCUUGAGAGAAAUCAGAGUCUUUGGGUUCCGGGGGGAGUAUGGUCGCAAGGCUGAAACUUAAAGGAAUUGACGGAAGGGCACCACCAGGCGUGGAGCCUGCGGCUUAAUUCGACUCAAC